RNAcentral lists this ribosomal RNA (406 nucleotides) under uncultured bacterium. RNAcentral describes it as "partial 16S ribosomal RNA". It matches the Rfam family "Bacterial small subunit ribosomal RNA", at positions 30 to 526 of the family's 1533-position model. The record is from RNAcentral.
AUUGAACGCUGGCGGCAGGCCUAACACAUGCAAGUCGAACGAGUGGCGGACGGGUGAGUAAUGUCUGGGAAACUGCCCGAUGGAGGGGGAUAACUACUGGAAACGGUAGCUAAUACCGCAUACCAUCGGAUGUGCCCAGAUGUGAUUAGCUAGUAGGUGGGGUAAUGGCUCACCGAGGCGACGAUCCCUAGCUGGUCUGAGAGGAUGACCAUCCACCCUGCAACUGCUCCACUGUCCACACUCCUACGGGAGGCAGAGUUGGGGAAUAUUGCACACUGGGCUCGAGCCUGCUGCAGCCAUGCCGCGUGUAUGUAGAAGGCCUUCGGGUUGUAAAGUACUUGCAGCGGGGAGGCGUUACCCGCAGAAGAAGCACCGGCUAACUCCGUGCCAGCAGCCGCGGUAAUUC